GAUGAAGAACGCAGCGAAAUGCGAUAAGUAAUGUGAAUUGCAGAAUUCAGUGAAUCAUCGAAUCUUUGAACGCACAUUGCGCCCGUCAGUAUUCUGGCGGGCAUGCCUGUUCGAGCGUCAUUACGCCCCUCAAGUCCCUGUGGACUUGGUGUUGGGGAUCGGCGAGGCUGGUUUUCCAGCACAGCCGUCCCUUAAAUUAAUUGGCGGUCUCGCCGUGGCCCUCCUCUGCGCAGUAGUAAAACACUCGCAACAGGAGCCCGGCGCGGUCCACUGCCGUAAAACCCCCCAACUUUUUAUAGUUGACCUCGAAUCAGGUAGGACUACCCGCUGAACUUAAGCAUAUCAAUAAGCGGAGGA
This 357-nucleotide unclassified non-coding RNA is filed under the name soil metagenome. Its description in RNAcentral is "partial contains 5.8S ribosomal RNA, internal transcribed spacer 2, and large subunit ribosomal RNA". The stretch from base 1 to 120 matches the Rfam family "5.8S ribosomal RNA", at positions 35 to 154 of the family's 154-position model. The record is from RNAcentral.